GUGGUAUUAAAUUCAGGCAUUUCAACUGGGCGACUUUGGGCAAACAUCAAAAUGAACAGGCUCAAGUCCUCCCUGCGGUGUGAAAGGUGCUGGAUCUUCUGUCUUCCUGCCCCGGUCAGUUUCACUGAAAAGGAAGAACAGGGCAGCCGUGGGGUCAGAACCCGCGCACCUGAUCGCUCGGCACCUGCCUGCAGAGAUUUCUCUUCCCUUAGGAGAUGAAGUAUCAGAAGAGAAUGCAAGACUGUGGCGAGAAUGUGUGCCCUAUAGUCAUUCUGAGCAGAAAUCGUCCCAUUGCAGUGAUAUCACAAGGACCAAGAGAAAGUUGACUUGGCAAUGAGAGAGCACUGGCAUUGACUGGAUGUGGCGUGGGACGUGUGGACAGCCUAGAGAGGAAGUGUUGCCUGGGACAUUCUAAUUCCAAUCCCUGGAGUAAACCUUCAAGGGCAGAGUGCUUAAAGAUUGGUAGGCUUUGAGACUUUCCUAAGACAGAGUCAUGGAAAACCAGCACGACCUCCACCUGUCAUUCUAUAACAAAACCCAAAUGAUCAUACCAUCAUCUACGGACACUUUCUGAGCACUUUUUCCUGUGCCAGGUAAGGGAUAUAUCAAGAAAAAAAAAAAUGAUAGGUCCGGGAUAGAAGUAUGAUCAUGGCUUAGUUGGGAUGCUUGACCUAGCUCAUGAAAAAU
Molecule: long non-coding RNA, 687 nt
Filed under: Mustela putorius furo (domestic ferret)
Lineage: Eukaryota; Metazoa; Chordata; Mammalia; Carnivora; Mustelidae
Description: lncRNA (ENSMPUG00000031781.1)
Source: RNAcentral